GAUGUUUGUAUAUAUUCGAUGUGUGUAUACUGAUAUGUGUGUAUGUGUAAAGUGCAUAACUGUAUCUAUACAAUGCACUAAUAUAUAUAUUUCUAUAUAUAUUGAUGUAUCAGUUCAUACAGUUAUUAACGUAUAUCUACAUUAAUUUAUAUACUACACACACACUCACUCACACUUACACUCACACUCACCACUCACACUCAUACACACACAGACACAUGCACACUCACACUCAACACACACACUCACACUUACACACACUCACACUCACACUCACACUCAUACACACUCACACUCACAUAUAUAUAUACUACAGACAUACACACACUCACACUCACACACACUCACACUCAUACUCACAGAUAUAUAUACUAUACGUGUUUAUGUGUUGUGUAUGGAUUGAUAUGUGAAUAUAUACGAUGUGUUU
This 427-nucleotide long non-coding RNA is filed under the name Amborella trichopoda. RNAcentral describes it as "long non-coding RNA (ATRI_LNC003377)". Lineage: Eukaryota; Viridiplantae; Streptophyta; Magnoliopsida; Amborellales; Amborellaceae. The record is from RNAcentral.